GACGAACGCUGGCGGCGUGCUUAACACAUGCAAGUCGAACGGAAAGGCCCUGCUUUUGUGGGGUGCUCGAGUGGCGAACGGGUGAGUAACACGUGAGUAACCUGCCCUUGACUUUGGGAUAACUUCAGGAAACUGGGGCUAAUACCGGAUAGGAGCUCCUGCUGCAUGGUGGGGGUUGGAAAGUUUCGGCGGUUGGGGAUGGACUCGCGGCUUAUCAGCUUGUUGGUGGGGUAGUGGCUUACCAAGGCUUUGACGGGUAGCCGGCCUGAGAGGGUGACCGGCCACAUUGGGACUGAGAUACGGCCCAGACUCCUACGGGAGGCAGCAGUGGGGAAUAUUGCAUAAUGGGCGGAAGCCUGAUGCAGCAACGCCGCGUGCGGGAUGACGGCCUUCGGGUUGUAAACCGCUUUCGCCUGUGACGAAGCGUGAGUGACGGUAAUGGGUAAAGAAGCACCGGCUAACUACGUGCCAGCAGCCGCGGUGAUACGUAGGGUGCGAGCGUUGUCCGGAUUUAUUGGGCGUAAAGGGCUCGUAGGUGGUUGAUCGCGUCGGAAGUGUAAUCUUGGGGCUUAACCCUGAGCGUGCUUUCGAUACGGGUUGACUUGAGGAAGGUAGGGGAGAAUGGAAUUCCUGGUGGAGCGGUGGAAUGCGCAGAUAUCAGGAGGAACACCAGUGGCGAAGGCGGUUCUCUGGGCCUUUCCUGACGCUGAGGAGCGAAAGCGUGGGGAGCGAACAGGCUUAGAUACCCUGGUAGUCCACGCUGUAAACGGUGGGUACUAGGUGUGGGGUCCAUUCCACGGGUUCCGUGCCGUAGCUAACGCUUUAAGUACCCCGCCUGGGGAGUACGGCCGCAAGGCUAAAACUCAAAGGAAUUGACGGGGCCCCGCACAAGCGGCGGAGCAUGCGGAUUAAUUCGAUGCAACGCGUAGAACCUUACCUGGGUUUGACAUGGAUCGGGAGUGCUCAGAGAUGGGUGUGCCUCUUUUGGGGUCGGUUCACAGGUGGUGCAUGGCUGUCGUCAGCUCGUGUCGUGAGAUGUUGGGUUAAGUCCCGCAACGAGCGCAACCCUUGUUCACUGUUGCCAGCACGUUAUGGUGGGGACUCAGUGGAGACCGCCGGGGUCAACUCGGAGGAAGGUGGGGAUGACGUCAAGUCAUCAUGCCCCUUAUGUCCAGGGCUUCACGCAUGCUACAAUGGCUGGUACAGAGAGUGGCGAGCCUGUGAGGGUGAGCGAAUCUCGGAAAGUCGGUCUCAGUUCGGAUUGGGGUCUGCAACUCGACCUCAUGAAGUCGGAGUCGCUAGUAAUCGCAGAUCAGCAACGCUGCGGUGAAUACGUUCCCGGGGCU
RNAcentral lists this ribosomal RNA (1346 nucleotides) under uncultured bacterium. Its description in RNAcentral is "partial 16S ribosomal RNA". It matches the Rfam family "Bacterial small subunit ribosomal RNA", at positions 28 to 1381 of the family's 1533-position model. The record is from RNAcentral.